This 474-nucleotide long non-coding RNA is filed under the name Ananas comosus (pineapple). Its description in RNAcentral is "long non-coding RNA (ACOM_LNC024084)". Lineage: Eukaryota; Viridiplantae; Streptophyta; Magnoliopsida; Poales; Bromeliaceae. The record is from RNAcentral.
AAUUUAGCGCUUCAAUUUAAUAUUAAAAUAAAAUAGAAAAGCUUCUCAGUGAGAUGUCGAGGAGAGAGAGAGAGAGAGAGAGAGAGCUGCGAACCAUCUGAGACACCUCGUGCUAGAAUUUUAACAUCUCGCUCAAAUUUAAAGGCUUCGUGUUAAAUAUAAAAAUAUAUAAAUAUCGUUCUUUAACAAGCUUAAGCUUUUACAGUACAACGAUUGUUUUACAUGAUAUCAAAACAUGAUAUCCUAAGUUCGAGUCAUACCGGCCUCCUAGUGUUAUUAAUUUUCUCCCAUUUAAUUUAAGUUCAUGUCAUGGGCUUUGCAGAAAGUCUCGAACCCUAUAUAUAAACACCGUUUUCUAACAAGCUUAAGAUUUUAAAGUACAACGGUUGCUUCACAAUAUAUUUUUACAUUUAACACUUCGUGCCCCCACACUGAAUUACAGAUGGAAUCAGGAGAUGCAGCAAAAAAUGCAAA